RNAcentral lists this long non-coding RNA (1081 nucleotides) under Mytilus galloprovincialis (Mediterranean mussel). Lineage: Eukaryota; Metazoa; Mollusca; Bivalvia; Mytilida; Mytilidae. The record is from RNAcentral.
CCCGACCUCCGUCAGGGUGACAUAAUAAUAAGAAAAAAAAGAAACGUAGAAUAACAAUACGUCACCCCAACUCUGUUGAGGGUGCCAUAAAAAGAAACGUAGAAUAACAAUAUGUCACCCCAACUCCGUUGAGGGUGCCAUAAUAAGAAAAAAAAAGAAACGUAGAAUAACAAUAUGUCACCCCAACUCCGUUGAGGGUGCCAUAACUAGAUUUGUAAUUGCUAGCAAUAACGGAUGGCACCCUCGCCCCCCCCCCCCAUUGCCAGGAUAAAGGCAGCCAUUUUGAAAUUUCCAAAGUCCAGGAGCAUAUCUACACAUGGAAAUUAUGAUUUUUGUAAAGUUUUAUUAAGUUUGAAGCAUUUUGAAAUUUUUGACAUUUUAGUCAUUUCCAUGGAAACGGCGGCCAUUUUGAAAUUUUUAACUCCAAAAUGCAAUUCUGCCCAUGCCAGUUAUCAUUUCUGUAAAGUUUCAUCUAGUUUGCAGCAUUUUGAAUUUUUUUGAAAUUUUUAUAUUUCUACUGUUUCCAUGGUUACAGUAGAUAAUUCCAAAAUUCUAAAAGCAGGCAUCUCAUUGCCAUAUGUCAUGUUAUAUAUCAAUACAGUUUCAUUGAUCUCUAUGCAAUAUUCUUAAAGAAAAUGCAGCUUUUAUGUAUUUUUCCAUAGGCUCAAUGUUAAACAUUUGCCCUGUUUCCAUGACAAUGGCGGCCAUUUUAGAAUUUCCUUAUAUUGUCACAACAUCUUGGCAUACUAAGGAACAUUACCAUAAAGUUUCAUCCAGCUAGGUCUUAUAACGAAAGAUUUAGAAUUUUGAAAAUUUUUCACUUUUUAGCAGUUUCCAUGGAAAAAUUCCCAGAGUCAGAUGCACAACUUCAAAUGGGGGUCCUCAUUAUGUUAUAGUUCCAACAACAUUGGAUCACUCAAUUCUUAGAAACACGAUGGACAAAAUGUGUGGAAGAAUAAUAAAAAUAAGAAAAAAAAGAAACGUAGAAUAACAAUACGUCACCCCAACUCCGUUGAGGGUGCCAUAAUAAGAAGUGAGCAAAAACAAUAAGUCUCCAAACUUUGUUUGGGAGACUUAAUAA